UGAAAGGGUAAGGGAGUAGAGAGGGGGAGGAGGGAAAGGGGAGGAAGGAGAGUGACCCUGAGGACCUGAGUUUGAGGCUUGGGAACCUAGUGACUACCAAAAGUUGCUCUCUGACCUCCACAUGCAGCAAGGUACAGUUGCACCUGCAAGUCCACAACAAUACGAAUUAAAAAUAUAUAUUUAAAAACCUAGCCUGGUAAUGUAUGUCUGAAAUCCUAGGAUCUGGAAGAGGCAAGAGGAUUGCCCAUAACUAAGGCAGAGGCUAACCUUGCCCAGCCAGAGCUAGUCUCAAAAAAAAAAAAAAAAAAAAAAAAAAAGGGGUGGGGGAGAGAAACAAAAACAACAAACAAACAAAAACAAAAAAGGUGGUGGCACACGCCUUUAAUCCCAGCACUCCGGAGGCAGAGGCAGGCGGAUUUCUGAGUUCGAGGCCAGCCUGGUCUAUAAAGUGAGUUCCAGGCCAGCCAGGGCUAUACAGAGAAACCCUGUCUCGAAAAACAAAAAACAAACAAAACAACAAAACCACCCCUGCUUGCUCCCACCUCCCCAGCCCUGCUUUGCAGUCUCCUCAUCUCGGAGUCUGGACCCAAGGCAUGGUGCUGGUGAUGCUGAAGGAGAGGUGGACCCUGUGCCCAGCAGCUCAGUCGGCUGUCUGUCCCUCCUCCUCAGUUUAGGCAGGGCACACUAUUUUAAGUCCCACAUCUGUGAUCUUCCUGUAGCUUGCCCCUGGAGCAGCCUCAAGCCGGGUGAUGAUUUAGUGACAUUUUCUGAGGACAGAUUUCCCAGGCUGAUCCUAUGGGUCAGAACAAUCCUGUUUCAAGCUUUUUAGCGAACUGUAACAAAGUGUCCAUGUGUUCGUCAAACUUGUUACAGUUACCCAUUGGGGCCUGAGUCUUUAUACAGCUAAGGGCUCCCAUCUUUUCAAACCCAGGCCCUCACAACCUUGUGUCUGGUUGGAGUUUUUUGUUUGUUUUGUUCUGUUGUAAACAUUUGGAUACUUUAAAUUAUCCCACAUACUUUAUUACUUUUAAAGGUUUACUUUAUGAUGAUGAUUAUGAAAUAUUAUUAUGAUUAAGAAAGGAGCUCACUGUGUAGACUAGGCUGGUCUUAAACUCAGAGGUCCACCUGCCUGUGCCUCCCAAGUGCUGGAAUUACCGGCAUGUGCCACCACACCCAGAUAUUUUAUUAUUAUUUUUAGUUACAUGAACGUGUGUCUCUGUCUGUGGGUUUGGGCACAGGACUGCAGCUGCUGAAAGAGGUCAGAAGUAUCGGAUUCCCUGGAGCUAGAGUUACAGGUAUGAACUGCCUAGUGUUGUUACUAGGAACAGAGCUGGGGUCCUCGGCAGGGGCAGUACCCAUGACUAACUGCACAACCACGGCUUUUGCCUCCUGUUUAGGCGGUCUGCUUUUAUUGGUGUGGUUUUGGUUUGGUUUGUUUGAGCCCGGUCUCAUGUAAUCAAUGGCUAGUUUCAAACUCUCUAUGACCCAGCAAGGAUGGCCUUGAAUUCCCGCUUCCACCUCCCAAGGGCAGCAGACACAAGUUUAUGUCCCUGUCUCUUUUAUGUUACAGCCCCUCCCCCCAAUACCUUUUAAAUGCAAAAAAAAAAAAAAAAAAAAAAAAUCAUUAAACUGCUGAGCCCAGGGGAGCUGGCAAGCAAUCCUUCAGCGUGUGUGUUGGGGUGGCUUGAAGCUGAGCUGAGCGCCUGACUCUGCAGAACAGCUGUUUCCUCUGGCUUUGUGGGUGGCAGCUGCUGCCUGCCCACCUCCCUGGAAUUGAUGGGCGGAGGGGUGUGGGUGGCAGCUGGGAAGAGGAGGACAGAUCAAGGACGAAGGGGCACCUGGUCCAAUUCUGGCAUUGUUGGCUCAAUCGAUACGUGUUUAUUGAACACCCUUGACGGCAGCCCUGGGGUCUCCGGGGGUGCUGGAGACACUGAACAGCAAGAGCACCCUCGGUUCCUGGAAAUCAUAAUUGCUCGUUCUUCUUAUCAGAGGCAGGGCCCCAGUGACCUUCCUCGCUACCCCCCCCCAAGGCAAUGAUGGAGCUACGUAGUGAAAAGCAGAGAGAUGUAUUCGCUUCGCUGUGGCCACAGUGAGAAGGGUGACAAGUAAUGAGGUCCAGGGACCCCCCCCCCCAAUCCAUCUUCAGACUGAGGUUGAGGUUUGAGAGAGAUGCACAGCCAGGUUGUCCCACCGUGUGCUGUGCCGUGUGUCACUGACCCAGACCAGUCUGGGCUCCAGUCUGUCCUGUGUAGAAUUUUUCCCUGACAGACAAGUACCCUCUCUGGCUGUCAGCAGGCUUCAGCUUUUUUUCUUCUCUGAGCAUGAGACUCCUGUCGGAGGGGAUUCCGAUUCCUGGGGGAACCUUUAUCUCAACAGUCUGAUAGCCAAAGGGAUGGGCUCUGUAGAGUCCCUAGAGAGUAUAGGCCAGGAUGGUUUUGUUCUUGCUCCAAGCACAGACCACGCCUGUGAACUCGUUUACUAUUACAGAUGGGGAAACUGAGGCAUGGAGACACCUCUAAGCAACUAAUUAAAGUACAGAGUUGAGAAGGC
Molecule: long non-coding RNA, 2550 nt
Organism: Mus musculus (house mouse)
Lineage: Eukaryota; Metazoa; Chordata; Mammalia; Rodentia; Muridae
Product: predicted gene, 41556
Exons: 2
Source: RefSeq, a predicted model, not a curated record